ACGGAAGGCAGCAGUGAGGAAUAUUGGUCAAUGGACGGAAGUCUGAACCAGCCAUGCCGCGUGCAGGAAUAAGGCCCUAUGGGUCGUAAACUGCUUUUGUGGUGGAGCAAUAAGGCGUACGUGUACGUCGAUGAGAGUACAUCACGAAUAAGCAUCGGCUAACUCCGUGCCAGCAGCCGCGGUAAUACGGAGGAUGCAAGCGUUAUCCGGAUUUAUUGGGUUUAAAGGGUGCGUAGGCUGUGCGACAAGUCAGGGGUGAAAGCCCGCCGCCCAACGGUGGAACUGCCUUUGAUACUGUCGCGCUGGAAUACGGAUGCCGUGGGAGGAAUGAGUAGUGUAGCGGUGAAAUGCAUAGAUAUUACUCAGAACACCGAUUGCGAAGGCAUCUCACGAAUCCGUCAUUGACGCUGAGGCACGAAAGCGUGGGGAUCGAACAGGAUUAGAUACCCUGGUA
This 454-nucleotide ribosomal RNA is filed under the name uncultured bacterium. RNAcentral's name for it is "partial 16S ribosomal RNA". It matches the Rfam family "Bacterial small subunit ribosomal RNA", at positions 341 to 792 of the family's 1533-position model. The record is from RNAcentral.